Molecule: ribosomal RNA, 433 nt
Filed under: uncultured bacterium
Lineage: Bacteria
Description: partial 16S ribosomal RNA
Rfam family: Bacterial small subunit ribosomal RNA
Source: RNAcentral
AACGAACGCUGGCGGCAUGCCUAACACAUGCAAGUCGAACGAGACCGUCGGGUCUAGUGGCGCACGGGGGCGGAACGCGGGGGAAGCUACCCGUAGGUUCGGAAUAACUGCCCGAAGGGGGUGCUAAUACAGGUUAAGGUCUUCGGACCAACGAUUUAUCGCCUUUGGCUGGGGCCGGGUUGGAUUAGGUGGUUGGUAGGGUAAAAGCAUACCAAGGGGACGUUCCAUAGCUGGUCGGAGAGGAUGACACGCCACACUGGGGAUGAGGCCCGGGCCAGACUCCGACGGGACGGAGCAGUGGAGAGUAUUGGACGCUGGGCGAAAGCGUGAUCACGCAGUGCCGGGUGAGUGAUGCAGGCCUUAGUGUUGUAAAGCCGUCUUACCCGGGAUGAUAAUGACAGUACCGGGAGAAUAAGCUCCGGCUAACUACGUG